RNAcentral lists this ribosomal RNA (718 nucleotides) under Bacillus sp. CSu4_2. RNAcentral describes it as "bacterial SSU rRNA". It matches the Rfam family "Bacterial small subunit ribosomal RNA", at positions 56 to 755 of the family's 1533-position model. The record is from RNAcentral. Lineage: Bacteria; Bacillati; Bacillota; Bacilli; Caryophanales; Bacillaceae.
UGCAAGUCGAGCGGACUGAUGGGAGCUUGCUCCCAUCAGUCAGCGGCGGACGGGUGAGUAACACGUGGGUAACCUGCCUGUAAGACUGGGAUAACUCCGGGAAACCGGGGCUAAUACCGGAUAACUCAUUUCCUCGCAUGAGGAAAUGUUGAAAGGUGGCUUUUAGCUAUCACUUACAGAUGGACCCGCGGCGCAUUAGCUAGUUGGUGAGGUAACGGCUCACCAAGGCGACGAUGCGUAGCCGACCUGAGAGGGUGAUCGGCCACACUGGGACUGAGACACGGCCCAGACUCCUACGGGAGGCAGCAGUAGGGAAUCUUCCGCAAUGGACGAAAGUCUGACGGAGCAACGCCGCGUGAGUGAUGAAGGUUUUCGGAUCGUAAAACUCUGUUGUUAGGGAAGAACAAGUACCGUUCGAAUAGGGCGGUACCUUGACGGUACCUAACCAGAAAGCCACGGCUAACUACGUGCCAGCAGCCGCGGUAAUACGUAGGUGGCAAGCGUUGUCCGGAAUUAUUGGGCGUAAAGCGCGCGCAGGUGGUUUCUUAAGUCUGAUGUGAAAGCCCACGGCUCAACCGUGGAGGGUCAUUGGAAACUGGGGAACUUGAGUGCAGAAGAGGAAAGUGGAAUUCCAAGUGUAGCGGUGAAAUGCGUAGAUAUUUGGAGGAACACCAGUGGCGAAGGCGACUUUCUGGUCUGUAACUGACACUGAGGCGCG